CCUAUCAACUUUCGAUAGUACUUUCUGUGCCUACCAUGGUGACCACAGGUAACAGGGGAAUCAGGGUUGGAUUCCG
This 76-nucleotide ribosomal RNA is filed under the name Pelobates cultripes (western spadefoot toad). Its description in RNAcentral is "SSU_rRNA_eukarya". The record is from RNAcentral. Lineage: Eukaryota; Metazoa; Chordata; Amphibia; Anura; Pelobatidae.